GUGAGGAAUAUUGGACAAUGGAGGCAACUCUGAUCCAGCCAUGCCGCGUGCAGGAAGACGGUCCUAUGGAUUGUAAACUGCUUUUAUACAGGAAGAAACCUCUCCACGUGUGGAGAGCUGACGGUACUGUAAGAAUAAGCACCGGCUAACUCCGUGCCAGCAGCCGCGGUAAUACGGAGGGUGCAAGCGUUAUCCGGAAUCAUUGGGUUUAAAGGGUCCGUAGGCGGACUAAUAAGUCAGGGGUGAAAUCCAACAGCUUAACUGUUGAACUGCCUUUGAUACUGUUAGUCUUGAAUUAUAUGGAAGUAGAUAGAAUGUGUAGUGUAGCGGUGAAAUGCUUAGAGAUUACACAGAAUACCGAUUGCGAAGGCAGUCUACUACGUAUAUAUUGACGCUAAUGGACGAAAGCGUGGGGAGCGAACAGGAUUAGAAACCCCUGUAGUCC
This 445-nucleotide ribosomal RNA is filed under the name uncultured bacterium. RNAcentral's name for it is "bacterial SSU rRNA". It matches the Rfam family "Bacterial small subunit ribosomal RNA", at positions 354 to 796 of the family's 1533-position model. The record is from RNAcentral.